CUGCAGCUGCCCGACACGUCAGGAACUUUAUCCCCGGGGCCUUACGCAUUCCCUAGGGAGCUGUCCCUGCUCUGGGCCGUGGUCCGUUGCAUACGGCGCCCACCUACUUUGUAGGUUUCCCGGGAUCGCAAUUCCAACGGUCGGACGGCUGCGCG
RNAcentral lists this small RNA (155 nucleotides) under Roseibium sp. RNAcentral describes it as "6S RNA". It matches the Rfam family "6S / SsrS RNA". Rfam says of the family: E. coli 6S RNA was the first non coding RNA to be sequenced, but its function was unknown until recently. The record is from RNAcentral. Lineage: Bacteria; Pseudomonadati; Pseudomonadota; Alphaproteobacteria; Hyphomicrobiales; Stappiaceae.